CCGUAGGUGAACCUGCGGAAGGAUCAUUGCCGUAACCUGCUCAGCAGAACGACCAGCGAACAUGUUAACAACCCACGGGCGUAGGUUGUGUUAGGUGCCUUGUGUGCUUGCUCGCCCCUUGCCUGCGUCAUACGACGUUCGUUUGGCAAAAAAACGAACCCCGGCGCGAAAAGCGUCAAGGAACAUAAACUAAUGUGUGCUCUACCCUUUGGCCGGUUAGCCGGCUGAAGGGUUUGAUGCCAUGUCUUAACAAUAAACGACUCUCGGCAACGGAUAUCUUGGCUCUCGCAUCGAUGAAGAACGUAGCGAAAUGCGAUACUUGGUGUGAAUUGCAGAAUCCCGUGAACCAUCGAGUUUUUGAACGCAAGUUGCGCCCGAAGCUCUGGCUUAGGGCACGUCUGCUUGGGCGUCACGCAUCGCGUCUCCCCAAACCACCUAGUGUGAGGGGAGGAGGAUGGUUUCCCGUCCCUCACCGGGGACGGUUGGCCUAAAUUUGGAGCCAGAGGCAUUGAGCUUUAGUGGCGAUAGGUGGUGAACAAGGCCUAGGCCGCGCAAGCAACCCGUCACGUAGCACUUUGUGCUCGAAGGACCCUGUGAUGUCGCCUCGUUGCGAUUGAACGCUGCGACCCCAGGUCAGGCGGGGCUA
Molecule: ribosomal RNA, 646 nt
Filed under: Sagina decumbens
Lineage: Eukaryota; Viridiplantae; Streptophyta; Magnoliopsida; Caryophyllales; Caryophyllaceae
Description: eukaryotic LSU rRNA
Rfam family: 5.8S ribosomal RNA (bases 259-412)
Source: RNAcentral